AGAGUUUGAUCAUGGCUCAGAACGAACGCUGGCGGCGUGCUUAACACAUGCAAGUCGUACGCGAAAGGGGGCAACCCCCGGUAGCGUGGCAGACGGGUGAGUAACACGUGGGUAACCUGCCCCGAGGUGGGGAAUAACUUUCCGAAAGGAAGGCUAAUACCGCAUGAUAUCGAGAGGUUCUCGGACCUUUCGAUCAAAGCUGGCCUCUGUUUACAAGCUAGCGCCACGGGAGGGACCCGCGCCCCAUUAGCUAGUUGGUGAGGUAACGGCUCACCAAGGCGACGAUGGGUAGCCGGCCUGAGAGGGUGAUCGGCCACACUGGAACUGAGACACGGUCCAGACUCCUACGGGAGGCAGCAGUGAGGAAUCUUGCGCAAUGGGCGAAAGCCUGACGCAGCGACGCCGCGUGGAGGAUGAAGGUCUUCGGAUUGUAAACUCCUGUCGUGCGGGACGAAUGCCCCGGUCGUGAACAACGAUCGGGGUUGACGGUACCGCAGGAGGAAGCCCCGGCUAACUCCGUGCCAGCAGCCGCGGUAAUACGGGGGGGGCCAGCGUUGUUCGGAAUCAUUGGGCGUAAAGGGCGCGUAGGCGGCCGAUCAAGUCGAACGUGAAAUCCCCCGGCUCAACCGGGGACCUGCGUCCGAUACUGUUCGGCUUGAGUCCCGGAGAGGGUAGCGGAAUUCCCAGUGUAGCGGUGAAAUGCGUAGAUACUGGGAGGAACACCGGUGGCGAAGGC
Molecule: ribosomal RNA, 736 nt
Filed under: uncultured bacterium
Lineage: Bacteria
Description: bacterial SSU rRNA
Rfam family: Bacterial small subunit ribosomal RNA
Source: RNAcentral